RNAcentral lists this unclassified non-coding RNA (335 nucleotides) under soil metagenome. Its description in RNAcentral is "partial contains 5.8S ribosomal RNA, internal transcribed spacer 2, and large subunit ribosomal RNA". The stretch from base 2 to 119 matches the Rfam family "5.8S ribosomal RNA", at positions 37 to 154 of the family's 154-position model. The record is from RNAcentral.
GUGAAGAACGCAGCGAAAUGCGAUAAGUAAUGUGAAUUGCAGAAUUCAGUGAAUCAUCGAAUCUUUGAACGCACAUUGCGCCCGCCAGUAUUCUGGCGGGCAUGCCUGUUCGAGCGUCAUUUCAACCAUCAAGCCCCAGGCUUGUGUUGGGGACCUGCGGCUGCCGCAGGCCCUGAAAACCAGUGGCGGGCUCGCUGUCACACCGGGCGUAGUAGAUUUUAUCUCGCUCAGGGCGUGCUGCGGGUUCCGGCCGUUAAAAAGCCUUUUUUACCCAAGGUUGACCUCGGAUCAGGUAGGAAUACCCGCUGAACUUAAGCAUAUCAAUAAGCGGAGGA